GUGAAUGGCUUGGAUAAAGUUAUUUUGGGUUGGAAUAUGUUAUAAUACAAUGAAUUUGAUUGAUUACAAGUGCUAGAGAUACAUGAAGAAUGUUUAGAAGUGAGAAGAAAGACUUGUUGAUAUUUGGUCCCAAAUGGGAUAAGAACCCAAAACCAAUGCUUUGAGGCAGUGAAUGGAUUGUAUAAAGUUAUUUUGGGUUAGAAUAUGAUAUAAUACAAUGAAUUUGAUUGAUUACAAGUGCUAGAGAUGCAUGAAGAAUGUUUAAAAGAGAUAAGAAAGACUUGUUGAUAUUUGGUCCCAAAUGGGAUAAGAACCCAAAACCAAUGCUUUGAGGCAGUGAAUGGAUUGUAUAAAGUUAUAUUGGGUUAGAAUAUGUUAUAAUACAAUGAAUUUGAUUGAUUACAAGUGCUAGAGAUACAUGAAUAAUGUUUAGAAGUGAGAAGAAAGACUUGUUGAUAUUUGGUCCCAAAUGGGAUAAGAAACCAAAACCAUUGCUUUGAGGCAGUGAAUGGGUUGGAUAAAGUUAUUUUGGGUUGGAAUAUGUUAAAAUACAAUGAAUU
RNAcentral lists this long non-coding RNA (560 nucleotides) under Capsella rubella. Its description in RNAcentral is "long non-coding RNA (CRUB_LNC000031)". The record is from RNAcentral. Lineage: Eukaryota; Viridiplantae; Streptophyta; Magnoliopsida; Brassicales; Brassicaceae.